AUGCCAACUUCUCCCCCUCGAACUGAAGCACCAGAAGACCCAGCUGCUGAUACUCAAUUAGACCCUCCUGAGCCGUCAGCUGAUGACACCAUUGUUAACCCCUCUACUGCCGGACCAUCUAGCUCGGCUAACCCACCAUCAUCUUCUGAUCAUGACAUUCUGGUCACUGGAAGCCGUUUUGUUGAGCCAGGGACUCCCACCGUGUUAGCUCGACACACCGCUAAACAAGAAGCCCCGGAGAAACAGAAAGUGUGUUUUGAUAUCUCUCACUACAGUCAUCUGAAUGCUAAUGACAUAUUGUCCGGCUAUCUCAGCCAUGUUCAUUCCAGCCAUGAGUCAGAGAUUGAGAUGGUCAAGCAACUUCAGCUGAAAUAUGAGAACGCCCUAUCUGAAUUGGGCUCCCAAUUAACUGAUGCAAAGACCCGACUGGCGGAUCAAGAGGUAGAAAUCAAGUCUGUUGAUUCUAAACUUCAAUUGAGUCUUGCUGAGACAGAAAAAUUGAAAACCAGCUUGACGGCCAAAAAGAAAUCCUGGGCUGAAGAAAAGACGCUGCUGACACAACGCGCUGAAAAAGCUGAAGCGGCUCUUGAGGAGGUUACCAUGGAGCUUACAGGCUUAAAGAACCGGGUGUCUCAAAUGGUUUCCACCAUCUUUGGCCCGCGAAGCAAAAAUCUGAGCCAAGAUAAUGUGACCAAACUGAAGGUGGUCUAUUCCUUAGUGGAACAGUUGUACACUAGCGCUCAACGAGCACUUGCUGCUAUCUCUCCUGCCAACCAAGCGGCUCAGUGA
This 789-nucleotide ribosomal RNA is filed under the name Triticum aestivum (bread wheat). Its description in RNAcentral is "partial small subunit ribosomal RNA". Lineage: Eukaryota; Viridiplantae; Streptophyta; Magnoliopsida; Poales; Poaceae. The record is from RNAcentral.